Molecule: ribosomal RNA, 720 nt
Filed under: Bacillus anthracis (anthrax bacterium)
Lineage: Bacteria; Bacillati; Bacillota; Bacilli; Caryophanales; Bacillaceae
Description: bacterial SSU rRNA
Rfam family: Bacterial small subunit ribosomal RNA
Source: RNAcentral
UUAGGUUAAGAAGGACUACAUGUCUUGUCGAGCGAAUGGAUUAAGAGCUUGCUCUUAUGAAAUUAGCGGCGGACGGGUGAGUAACACGUGGGUAACCUGCCCAUAAGACUGGGAUAACUCCGGGAAACCGGGGCUAAUACCGGAUAACAUUUUGAACCGCAUGGUUCGAAAUUGAAAGGCGGCUUCGGCUGUCACUUAUGGAUGGACCCGCGUCGCAUUAGCUAGUUGGUGAGGUAACGGCUCACCAAGGCAACGAUGCGUAGCCGACCUGAGAGGGUGAUCGGCCACACUGGGACUGAGACACGGCCCAGACUCCUACGGGAGGCAGCAGUAGGGAAUCUUCCGCAAUGGACGAAAGUCUGACGGAGCAACGCCGCGUGAGUGAUGAAGGCUUUCGGGUCGUAAAACUCUGUUGUUAGGGAAGAACAAGUGCUAGUUGAAUAAGCUGGCACCUUGACGGUACCUAACCAGAAAGCCACGGCUAACUACGUGCCAGCAGCCGCGGUAAUACGUAGGUGGCAAGCGUUAUCCGGAAUUAUUGGGCGUAAAGCGCGCGCAGGUGGUUUCUUAAGUCUGAUGUGAAAGCCCACGGCUCAACCGUGGAGGGUCAUUGGAAACUGGGAGACUUGAGUGCAGAAGAGGAAAGUGGAAUUCCAUGUGUAGCGGUGAAAUGCGUAGAGAUAUGGAGGAACACCAGUGGCGAAGGCGACUUUCUGGUCU